GUAUGAACUUGAACUAAGCUUCAAACACGUGUAGGAGUAGUGAAUGUGUAAUACCGCUUUAUUAUGGUUCCUUGGCUUCCACAUUUUUAUGUUGUCGACUCAAAUCUCAUGGUCAAAUGUAGUGAAGGGAUGAAAAGGAGGAGCAGCGUGGAAGGAGCAAAAACGGUGCCAUAAUAGGCAGAGUUAGCCCAGACUGAAAACAUGCUCUAAAAGACUUGGUAAGUAUGUUUUCCUGUUGUUCAUCUAACACUGGCAUUCAAAACACAAGAUAAAACUGUCGGUUUUAUAAUUUCCUGUGCUAUCAAAGCGACAGUAUAUCCAACUUUUAAUAAAUCUUUCAGUGCAGAGGGGGCAGCUAAUGGAAAACAUGCUGGGGGUGUGGUACAGCUGUGGGAGCUCUUCACAGCUGAGCAAGAUUUAACUACUCAUCAGAUAAGAACCUGCCUCCUUUAAAGUGUGCGUAUGGCACCUGAUUACAUCAUUUUGAGUAAUUUACAAACCCCUGUUCAGCAGUCUGAAGUAUAUCUGUAGUGAAAGGCUGCACAUAUGCAGGCCAGAUUUUAGCAGUGAAGAUUGAGAAAACAGAUUAGAUAGAAAAAGGAGAUUUUUUAUUUCACGUGCUGUAAGGGCAUCCACAAGGCAGUUUAUUGCGAUUCAAACAGUCUGGGCAUCCAAACUGGGCACCUUUUUCCAUUUUUUUCCACCUUUUCUUUUUACAAACUUGUAGGUAGGGCCCGAAGUGGCUGGAGGAUUAUCUGUUUUUCUAGUGAGGGUGACAAUGCAGGUACAAUUGUACUUUAAUUGUUGUGUAAUAUGUUUUUUAUUAGCCAUGCUUCAGUGUAGCUGCCGUACGCUGUCUCAAUUUCGUUAGGCAGGCUCAGGGUUGACAUAAAAGUAUUUUGAUGCAUGCACUCACACUCACGUACACAUACUUCCUGGCUCCUGUGCACCUUCUCUCCUCUCUAGAUGUGUAGACAAGGAUGUUGACUGAAAAAUACCAUCAAUCUUCAUUUAUAAUGCCUUUUUUGGUUUGUUGCUUUUGUACAGUAUGCAAGCAGCUAUUUUACUGAAAUGUUCACAACAUUAUGAACCAAUGCUUCAUAUGAGGGCUAUAGACUAAUUUGAAGAUUGUGUGGUAGUUGGCUGUGAGAUUUUCCAGCAUCAGUACAUCAUGUGGUGUCAGUAGGGUUGCAGAAUUCCGGGAAUUUUCAAAGUUGGAAACUUUCCAUGGGAAUUAAGGGGAAUAAAUCUGAAAUUUCAAAUUCAACUUUAUUUUUAUGGCACUUUUCAUACAAAAAAAUGCAGUUCAAAGUGCCUCACACAGGCUAAAAAUAACAAUUAACGACAAUAACAUCUGAACCCCCCACCCACAGACCCACACGAGCACAAAGGCACACACCCACCCUCACUCUCUCACCCACACAUACACACUCACAAGCGCACACAGUGUGAGAAUUUAAGAUAUAUUGUUAAAGAGACAUGGCCUGACACAGAGACAUCAAGUGAGGAAAGAGCUAACUUUGGGAAACACUGGAGAUAAAAAUGGUAAAAAGAGUAAAACCUGAUGGACUAAAAUAAGAAAAUAAUAUUAAAUGAACAGAUAAGUAAAAGCACUUUACCAUAUGAAAAAGGGGUAAAAGAAGUAAAAACCUGUGAUGGGAGUUAAGUAAAAGACUAAGAACAGAGAUGAUUAAUAAAAUGACAUGAAAUAAACAAUAAGAACUUCGAUUAAAACGAACAUUUGCAAUAAGAGAAAUAUAAAAAGGCAGUUAGUAAAAAGCGUGGUUAAAAAGGUGAGUCUUGAGCAUCUUCUUAAAUACAUGAACAGUAAAUAGGAGGGGCCAAGACCAUUAAUACAUUUAAAAACUAAUAGAAGAACCUUAAAAUCAAUCCUGAAACGGACGGGGGAGCCAAUGCGGCAAUGCUAAAACUGGCAUUAUAUGCUCUUGCCCUCUGGCCCUUGUCAGCACAAACUUACAAAAUUGAAGGUUGGCCCUCAACAGGGAACUUAAAUAUAGUUGUGGGAAUAUAUUGUAGCAUAAUCUUGGCUAAAACAACCAGAUUUAAUGCAAGUACAAUCAAUCACAUGCAUGCAGUGCACUGCUUACUGCAGGGCAAUUGAGGCCACACCCCCUACAUGCACUGUGGAUUCCUCCAUCACACGCACAGAUGAUUUCUUGAACCCUGGAGGCCACACUUUUGAGCCCAAAGCACAAGACAUUUGAGUCCACAGACUAUAUAAAGUCAAGUAAGUUUUAAAAAUAUUAUGGGGUAAAUAUAUUUGAUCUAUAAUAGUAUUAAUAUUUAACUUGCAAAAAAUAGAUAAAAAUAGGUGCUAAAUGUAAGCUAUUUUUCAUUUCAUUGACCAUUUAAGGGGCUAGCUUAUUAUGGUGGUGGUAGCAACCUCGAAUGUGAUGCUGUUUCUUCUGACUCUUGUAAGACGGUUUUCUGAAACCCAACAAUAAUUUAUAUAUCAAAUGUCAAAUAUUUUGAAUACUAUUCCAGUUGUUUAGCAAUUGCAUUAGUGUUUUUACAAGCUUUUUGUUAUUUUAUUCUACAGAAAAAUGCCACGUUCACCAUCUGAUGUGUGGAAGCAUUUCACACAAGCUAAUGUUGAAGGAAAAAUAUUAACAUUUAUGUUUGGAUAUGAUACAGUUUGUUUAAAUUACCCCCAAUUUCCAGUUAAUUCCCAUAAAUUCCCAUAAUUCCCUUGAAAAGUUUCCAUUUUGGAAUAUUUCCAAAACUCCCAGAGCCGCUCUUUAUCCUUCUGUCCUGAUUGGUUGUGGGGUAGGCUCUACCCCCUGAUGCUGACUUGUUGUGAGAUAGGCUCCACUUCCUCAAAGAGUGUGCAGGAGCAAGCACAAAACAGAGUUAGUUUGCAAAAUGGCGGACAGUUGAACCCAACCAGAAAGAAAGAGCAGUCACAUUUUUCUGACCAAAAAGACUUGGACUUUGGAUAUUAUUUUUCCAUUUAUAUUUUGUUAUAUCUCCUGUGUCAUUUUUUAUGCACCAUUACACAUGCUGACUCGGUUGUGACAAUAGUUAUUGUUCAGUCUUUACUGAUGUAAUUGGUAAUGAAACGUGUGUACAACUUUUCAGAUUUAUUAGAAAACAAUUUCAUUAUGAAAAAAGUCGUAUAGUGUAAGAAUAUGUAUAAAAAACAGCAUUUGUUGUCCUCUCCAGGGUCAGGGCUGUGCACAAUAGCAUCAGUGUUGUUCCAGCCUGGAACAUGGAUGCAGUAUCUUGGAAGUUGCCACAAGUCCUCCAGGUUCAGUCCUCUAAUCCAGGCCUGGAAUGUAAAAUCAUUAAAGUCAUUACAAUCUUGUAUUUAGAGAUGGCUUACCUUGUUUUAUUUCUGUGAAACUAUCACAUAAGUCUUAGAGCUUGAAUGCUCUCCACACCGUGAUGACAAACUAAAAUUACUGUUUUAUUUAUUUUAUUCUUUUUUUUAUUUAAAGCCACCCCAAAAUAAUCGUCAUAGUCCUGUUCAGGAGCUUUUUACACCCAAACCCCUGAGAGAAGUGACCCAGAAAGAGUACUUAGUUAUAAAUUGAAAAAAUCUAUCUUAGUCUGGGUGUUUUUUCUUUAAUCUCAGUCACAUCCCUGAAAUUAUCUUGCAGCAUUUAAGAGUGUUUAUACUUGAAUCUGAUCUUACCUUAUCUCUCUGUUUUUGCCCAGCUUUGAUGUGACUCAGAAGUCAAAUUGCUCCUCCCACAACUCACCAGCAGCCCCUGCUUCACUUACGGCACAUUUGGAAACUUCUAUUCAUUCACAAACAUCAUUACAUCAGCAGAAAUAACUUUAGUGGUGGAGGACACAGUGACAUCUGUAGAAAUGAAAUUGAUCAAAGAGGUGAAAGGACUUUUCAGGCAACUGAAGAAUCAUCUGAGAAAACCAAACCCCAAAUGUGAAGACCUAAAGAGAUCCAAGGAAGUGAUGAAAAACUCAAGAAAGCAAGGAGACUUAAAUUAUGAUCUUUGUGGACUUGCCCAUGAAGAAGCAGUAGCUGAGCCAUUCUAUGUGAAAACCACAGGCACAUCCAUAGCUCACAAAUGGCACCAAAUCAGUAAAAGGUGGGGAGGACAAAUUGAGAAGCUCUUGACAACGCCUGAAAGUAAAGUAAUCAGGAUAGAGAGCAUGAUUUACGUGAAUCGAGAAGAAUUUCGCAUUUCAAAGGGCAGUGAUGGUACCGAAGUGUUCCUGGGGCUCAGAGAUGACGGCACUGAAGUUGCCAUUAAGCGAAUGUCCAAGAGCAACUAUGAGGUCCUGAAGAAUGAGGAAGGGUUUCUACGACUUCCAGAACUGGAUCAUCCAUCUAUCGUGCGAUAUGUGGACUCUGCAGAAGAUCAGUACUUCGGCUAUCUUGGUCUAGCACUUUGUGAAUACAACCUGGAAGAGCUCAUCCCAACCUUCAAAGAUGAUUUCAUCCAUCUGAAGAAACUUGCCUAUCAAGUCCUCCAGAGUUUGAGGAUCCUCCAUGGCCAGGAUCCUCCAAUUCUCCACCGGGAUCUCAAACCACGGAACGUUUUGAUCGGUAAGACAAGUCAGAUUUUGAAAUUGAGAAAUAUUCAGCCUUGUUCAAGUUUGUGAUUGUCAGUGGAAAUGUUUCCAUAUUGAUUUCACCACAGAUGUCAAGAGGAGGCUAAGAUUAGCUGACUUUGGCAUCAGCAGACUGCUACCCAAAGGUCAAACGACGUAUCGUACAGGAGCUGCUGGAACAAAGUGCUGGAAGGCCAAAGAGACCUUAGCAGGAGGAGAUGACAUACCAUACAAAUCCAGCACUGAUAUACAGGCAAGUUCUUUCAAUCACAUUAAUUUAAUGACUUCUUAAAAAAAAUCACUCUCUUACUUGGUGAUGUUGAUUCUUAAGGUGGCAGGCAUGCUGAUUUAUUACAUCCUUUCUGGGGGACACCAUCCUUUUGGCGACAAAGCCUAUGAAUGUGAAUACAACAUUUCCCAGGGGAGGUACAAUCUGGACCAUGUCAAAGAUAUGGUGGCAAAGGACCUCAUUGAGUGGAUGAUAAAUGAAGAUCCCAAGAAGAGACCCACAAUUGAAGAAUGUCUGAGCCAUCCUUUCUUUUGGAACCAAGAGAAGUAAGAAAGACUAAUUGAUUAAUACACAGAUUUAGCUGAUACUUGGUCAAGCUAUUUUUUAUUUCCCACUGGAGGAAAGUGUCAUAUGUUAGGUUAGGUUAGUUGAAGCUCUAUUUAUUGAUUACAGUGAGUCAAGACUAUGCAAACAAAGAUCUUUGGCUCAAAUUAGCUCAUCCUACCAAACAGACAGCUUAGAGGCCUUAUAGUUAUAGUUGAGGAUCCACCUAUCUAGACAAAGAGUUCCUAUACUUGAUGUUGUCUUCACGUGUAGGCUGGUUCAUAUUUCUUCUUCACCUCUCACAUAGAUGGGUCCAGGUGUUUACCUAAUAGGAGUUGUGUUAUGCAUUCUACACUCACCUCUAACACACACACACACACACACACACACAUUCAAUCAUACAGUUUUGCUGUUGCUGGGCAGAUGAUCUAAGUAAGAUUAUCAAGGCAAGUAUCAUAGAUAAAAAUAACUAACAGUUCCAUAACCUUUCUUUUGAAGAAGUUCAAACCGCAAAGCACCCUCUGCAUACUUCCUUUUUCUUAUGUCUGCAACAUGAAUUUUUGUUUUGAUUUAAAGGAGAGUGGAGUAUCUGAGGAGGAUCGGAAACCGAAAGAAAGUGGCAAAUUUCAAAAAUGCUGAGCCCGAGUUUAUUUCUCUGAUGGAAGGAUGUGCUGGGGAAGGAGCCUUCAAAGAGUGGAAAAAACAGGUGACUACUCUUUAUUUGUUAUUUGAACCAAACCAUUUUUUUUCCUGAACUUCAGCACAACUCAGUUUUUUUUUGUUUCACAGUUCCCACUAGAGUUGAUCCAGAAAUUAGAUGGUAAGAAGAAAGCCUACACUGACAACAUUCUGGGACUGCUGCGCUGCAUCCGAAACCUCCUUGAGCACUAGUGAGUUCAGAUUACUUUUAUCAAACGUGCACCCGCCAAUCUCUUGAUUUCGUUUCCCCACCCUCCCAUCUCUUUUCUGGCAAAAAGGUGGUGGGUGGUGUACCGUUUCAAUACUGUCACCAGGGGUCAGUCUGCCAGAUAUUGAUUUGCAAUGCACACAUUUUGCAUGUAGUUCUCACACGACAGAGAUUUCCUUCCCCGAACACCAUUGCAGCCACUUAGGUGAGUAAAAACAGAAGUGCAGUGGAUUGAUUUGUGACUGACAACAACUAGACUUCAUCUCGGUCAGAGCAGAGCCACAGCCUGCACACUCGUCAAAGAGCCCUGCCGCCUCCUUGUGUUAGAGCGGGGGUCAUUGAUCAUAUUGCAUCGGGGCAUAGCAGUCAGGUAAGCUACUGCACUUUCUCUCUGAGUUUGCUAUCAGCAAGUAACAGGAUUUUACUUGAGUCCCAAAAGAAGGAAAAAAUCAGGCUAGAGGUAGGUAGAUACCCCACGUGAAAGUAGCGACUGCUCUGACAAUCACCUCUAAAUUCUAGCUUCUCUAAAUCUCACUUAGUUCAAGAUGAGCACAUUUUACUUCCCACAACAUCCUCAAAUAAGCGUCUCUUUUCUCCUCUGUUGAUGAAAGAACGACUUCAAAAGGUUAUUUGGUACAAUAAAGCGGCAGUAGCUCAGGAAAUAGAGCAGUCGUCCAACAACUGGAAGGUUGGUGGUUCCCCCCUUCCACGAGUCUGUCCAUUGUGUCCUUGGGCAAGACACUUAACUUACCUUGCUCCCAGUGUGUGUCCUCCACUGGUGUAUGACUAUGAGUGUUGUGUGGUGGUGGUCGAAGAGGUUGUAGUUGCAAACUGGCAGCCACAUUUCUGUCAGUGUGCCCCAGGGCAGCUGUGACUACUAAGGUAGUUUACCACCACCAAGGUCUGACUGUGUGAGCAAAUGAAUGAUGUAUCCAAUGUAAAGCGCUUUGAGGGUCUCUGAUAAAGCACUAUAUUAAAUCUGAUGCAUUAUUAUUAUUAUUAUUGUUAUUAUUAUUAUUAUUACAAUGGCUGGUGUUUUAUUUUUAACAUGGUAUCACAAAGUAGCUCAAAAAUGAGUCAUAAUUAGUUCUGCUGAGGGACACUCUUAUCUGUUUUUUGAGUCUUUUCAAUUCUUAAUGCAAAAUCGAGCAAAGAUCAGCCUCUGGUUAAACAUUAGGUGAUCAUAUCCCAAAUAUCAUUGCUUCAUUUACCAAAGGGUUUAGAAAUCUUGGCCAUGACACUAAUGCACUGUAUUUCUGUAUCUGCAGUGAAGAAGAUGCUGCCAAACUUGAUCUGAUGUCCAUGUUUCCUGAUCUGUUUGGCUGCGUUUACAUAUUUGCCAAAAACCAAGAGUGGAAUUCAAAGCCAGCCCUGAAGAAGAUGUUCACACCAGGAGAGUUUCUGGGAGAGGACAUCACCUCAUGAGCAGAAAUGCCAACAAACAUGUCCGCUGUUCAGUUCAGGAAUCUCAACCACUAUCCACUGAGCCAAAUGAAGAGCUUACUGAAUUUUAUAGAUUUUAUUUUGAUAAAAAUGAGACUGAGUCGAUUUGAAGAAACCUCCGCUGAAGGCAGUGAGACUUGUUGCUGUGUAGUUUGGUAUCAGGACCCGCUGUAGAGGUCCAAAGUACACACCAUAGAAAAAAAAACACAUCCAGGAGCCUCUGAGUGAUAGAGCCAAGCUCGAUAAAAUAAUAACCUAAUAGUGUUUAUUUUUCACAUAAAAAUCAGGGAUGAUGAAGCUGCUUUAAGCAUCAUGCCUCUGCUCAUUCUGAAAGAACAAAAGCCUUCAAGUGAAGGCUGUGAGUACUGUAUUCUGCAUCUAGUUUGUGUGUUAUAUCUCUUUAUAUCAAUUGUAUAUUUUGUCUAUCAUGUUUUUUAAAUAUUCUAAGACCCUUGCAAUGUUUAUAAAUUAUUAUAUAGCACCAUAGGAACAGACAUUUGUACAUGCAAUGGACUCUUUAUUAUACAAGUGUUUGUAUGAUGGUGCUGGUGAAUGUAGGUUUUCAAAGCUAGUCCACGCACAGACCAUGCGCCUGUUAACUACUGUGUUUGCCACUGACUGAGAUUGCUUGAUUGGUCGUAGCUGAUAGGAGAUGUUUAUUUCUUCAACCAAAGAAGGUAAUUGACAAUGGAAUUGUGAAAGCUGCAUAUAUUGCACACCUUGUAACUGGGAAACAAAACACUGGAACACUUUAUGGCCUGCCAGUAUACUGAACAGUUCAAAAAGCUGAUGUUUUCAGAGAGGUCAAGUUCAGUGGCUGAUUUAUCUGUGGUUGCACUUUCCUGACAGCGAAUAGCCAAGAGAUUAAAAAAAAAUUUAAAACACUUAUGCUAACUUUGAGACUCAAAACCAUAGACUGUAAAUACUGUGGACAACUCGGUUCCGCCUUCCGCCAGUAUACAGAUUUGAAAAACAGCCAAAAAGCUCUCAGUAUUACCGCGAUUUUUCUCCACUUCCUGAAACCAACAUUGCGCAGUAGCAUUGUACACACUCCACCACUUGCGCAGUAGUGUUGUACACAUUCGGCAGGAGAGUUGCUGAGUUUGUCCGCAGCUCCAUAGGGAUUGCUGGAGGAGGCGGGAUUUAUGACCUAUACUGCAGCCCAUCGUGGUGUCUUCACCCAGCGAGGUGGCAGACGGCGUCCAUUUUAUAUACAGUCUAUGCUCAGGACAUAAAGUGUUCAUGAAUAGAGAAAUUAGCUUUACGGACAAGGGCAUAUUUUUAAGAUAUGACUGAAGAAGGCUGUGAGGGCUGUAAACUGUUUACUUCUGCCGUAGAGUUUUGAUUUUAUUUAUCAGGCCUAAUGAAUAAUAACUUGUGGUGCCAGUCUCUCGUCCUCGUGAAGAACUGUUGGUUGUUGUUCUGGAGCAAUGUGACAGCAAUCAGCCUCAGUGUUGUUGGUACGUAUAGUAUUUGCACACAAUUAACACCUGCUGUUAAUUGGACUUAUUUGUAAAAAAAAAAAAAAAAUGUUCUUGACUUCCAGCAGCCUGUGAUUUUCAAACUGACUUUUAUUAACACUAUUUUUCCAUCCUGUUCGACUUUUAUUAACACUCUAUUUUUUUAUCCUGUUUGUAGACAAUCUUAAUUAUAAGUUUUUUUUUACUUUAUACACAAUCACCUCUUUUGUACAUAAAGGGACACCCUCCUGCUUUGGUUAAGUCUUGCAUUCCUGUCUGUUGUCCCAAUAGCAGAUGUCUUAAAUCUGGAAACUUUUCAUCUCUGUAUCUGGAGCUGCAGAUCUCACAGAGAGGUUGUUACAUCAUUAAUGCUAAGCUUUAACUGUAUGUCUGUUUUGAAUCGUUGUUG
Molecule: long non-coding RNA, 9311 nt
Filed under: Xyrichtys novacula (pearly razorfish)
Lineage: Eukaryota; Metazoa; Chordata; Actinopteri; Labriformes; Labridae
Source: RNAcentral